UACUCCUCGCAUCGACGUUUCCCUCCCUCAAAUCUCAAGCUUGAGGUUGUGCAUCAUCUGUGAUACCAUGAGGGGAGCCCGAUUUUGUAUUUUUUUCCUUUUGGAUCUCGUGGUGGUUUCUUUUUUCUCUGAUACAUGACGAGGUGUGGCCAUGUUGCUUUGGUUUUUGAUUGUUGUUUCUUCUUUUAAUUGAUAGAGGGCAAGAAGAGAAGUGUAAAAAUAUCUCUCUCUCUCUCCUUCUCCUUUUCUUCUUUGAAUUGAUGAUAUAUUUGUCAUGUAUAUUCAUGUAUCCGUCAUGUACCUCCAUGUGUUGUAUUUGUCUCUUGAUGCUUUAGGCAGGUAUCUUAUUUGAUGUGCUAAUGUACGCAAAUAAGAUUAACAUGUACCAUGGGUACAUGACGAGGUACUAAGUUUUGACGAUUUUGUACUAUGAUUUUUCCUUGCUACAUGAUGUACCAUAAUGUACUACUAAAUAUUGACAAGGUAGAUGUCGGUACUGUGGUUUCUUUUCCUGGUACAUGAGAUUGAUGUACACAAUCUUGAUUUCUUUUGACGAGGUACUUAAAAAACUGAUAAGGUGCAUUUCACGACAAUGUACUUAGAAUGAUGGAUUUCUUGGUUUUUUCUUUCAGUUAUGUGCCUACAGUGAUUUGUUUUCCUGGUACAUGAGAUUGAUGUACUCAGUUUUGAUAUUUUGACGAAGUACUUAAAAACGGACAAGGUACAUAGCAUCAGUUGAUGUACAUAGUCUUGGUAUUGACGAGAUACUUCAAUUUUUUUCUAGUACAUGACGUACUGUUAUGAGUUGAUGUACGCAAUUUUUAUUUUUUCACGAGGUACUUCAAAACUGAGAAGUUACAUUUCAUGUAUCACAAUUUACUUAAAAACGAGUUACUAAGUACUAACGAGGUACUGCAUAUUUACGAGGUACAUUAGGUGGUACUUUAAAAGUUCAUCCGAAAAGAAAGAAAAAAAGCAAAAAAUACACCGGAAAGGAAAGAGAAGAAAAAAAGAAAAUACGUAUGUGACUGAUAAAAAGUAGAGCAGAGAGAAGAGAAAGAGAGAGAAAGGGUAGAGCAGAGAGAAGAGAAAGAUAAAAAUGUGUCAGCGGUCACAUCCCAAAAAGUCAGACUGUUGUACUACUUCUCUGUUAGUCAUCUCUGCCUAAUGUAUACAACAUAGCAAAUUACAAACUGGCACAUAUCUCAAAGCAGCAUCCUAGGACUAGGACCAUAAGGGUAGGUCGCGUUAUUAGCACCACCUCCGCGUUCCCUCCACGACCACCAAGGAAACGGAACCCAGCUCCUCCUACUGGCCCGUGCUCCGUGCUGACUCUUGGUUUCCUGCUCCAGUCUCGACAACAAAACAAAAAUAAAAAUGGACUUUCUGUGGCUAAUUCCAUCGUAUAAAAUAGUUUUUUUUGACAGGCCGUCGUAUAAAAUAGUUGAUAUCCACGGUUGCUGCUACGUGAUGGAAAAGUUGUGUUGUGCUAGCUGUUCGCACAAAAUCAGUACAAGAGCAUCUCUAGCAGAUGCCGAACCCGGUUGAUUCGAACUGGGUAUUCGGUUUUCGGCCGAAAAAACGGCCCGACUAGAUACCGAAUAAUUGGCUGGCCCGAAAAAAAGGAUUCGGGUUACCGAAACGUCCCGCCAGCCGCUCGUAUAUCUAU
RNAcentral lists this long non-coding RNA (1669 nucleotides) under Brachypodium distachyon (stiff brome). Its description in RNAcentral is "long non-coding RNA (BDIS_LNC004111)". Lineage: Eukaryota; Viridiplantae; Streptophyta; Magnoliopsida; Poales; Poaceae. The record is from RNAcentral.